GAUGAACGCUGGCGGCGUGCCUAAUACAUGCAAGUCGAGCGAACGGACGAGAAGCUUGCUUCUCUGAUGUUAGCGGCGGACGGGUGAGUAACACGUGGAUAACCUACCUAUAAGACUGGGAUAACUUCGGGAAACCGGAGCUAAUACCGGAUAAUAUUUUGAACCGCAUGGUUCAAAAGUGAAAGACGGUCUUGCUGUCACUUAUAGAUGGAUCCGCGCUGCAUUAGCUAGUUGGUAAGGUAACGGCUUACCAAGGCAACGAUGCAUAGCCGACCUGAGAGGGUGAUCGGCCACACGGGAACUGAGACACGGUCCAGACUCCUACGGGAGGCAGCAGUAGGGAAUCUUCCGCAAUGGGCGAAAGCCUGACGGAGCAACGCCGCGUGAGUGAUGAAGGUCUUCGGAUCGUAAAACUCUGUUAUUAGGGAAGAACAUAUGUGUAAGUAACUGUGCACAUCUUGACGGUACAUAAUCAGAAAGCCACGGCUAACUACGUG
This 497-nucleotide ribosomal RNA is filed under the name uncultured bacterium. RNAcentral describes it as "partial 16S ribosomal RNA". It matches the Rfam family "Bacterial small subunit ribosomal RNA", at positions 28 to 507 of the family's 1533-position model. The record is from RNAcentral.